This 257-nucleotide ribosomal RNA is filed under the name uncultured bacterium. RNAcentral's name for it is "partial 16S ribosomal RNA". It matches the Rfam family "Bacterial small subunit ribosomal RNA", at positions 77 to 339 of the family's 1533-position model. The record is from RNAcentral.
CCUUCGGGAUGAGUAUAGUGGCGCACGGGUGAGUAACGCGUAGGUUAUCUGCCUUAAAGUGGGGAAUAACACAGCGAAAGUUGUGCUAAUACCGCAUACGAAAGCAAUUUCAAAGGGGGGUAGCAAUACCUCUCGCUUUAAGAUGAGCCUGCGUGACAUUAGGUAGUUGGUGGGGUAAUGGCCUACCAAGCCGACGAUGUCUAUCCGGUCUGAGAGGAUGAUCGGACACACUGGAACUGAGACACGGUCCAGACUCC